RNAcentral lists this unclassified non-coding RNA (253 nucleotides) under plant metagenome. RNAcentral describes it as "partial contains small subunit ribosomal RNA, internal transcribed spacer 1, and 5.8S ribosomal RNA". The record is from RNAcentral.
UUUCCGUAGGUGAACCUGCGGAAGGAUCAUUAACGAGUUAGGGUCUUCCAGGCCCGACCUCCCAACCCUAUGUUUAUUGAACCUCUGUUGCUUCGGCGGACCCGCCUCACGGCCGCCGGAGGACCGCUGCAAGGCGUCCUCUGGCCAGCGUCCGCCGAUGGCCAACCACUUAAACUCUGAAUGAAUCGUGUCAUAUGUCUAAGUCUAUGAUUAAAUUAAAGCAAAGCUUUCAACAACGGAUCUCUUGGUUCUG